This 422-nucleotide ribosomal RNA is filed under the name uncultured bacterium. RNAcentral's name for it is "bacterial SSU rRNA". It matches the Rfam family "Bacterial small subunit ribosomal RNA", at positions 355 to 774 of the family's 1533-position model. The record is from RNAcentral.
UGAGGAAUAUUGGUCAAUGGGUGCAAGCCUGAACCAGCCAUCCCGCGUGAAGGACGACUGCCCUAUGGGUUGUAAACUUCUUUUGUAUAGGGAUAAACCUACCCUCGUGAGGGUAGCUGAAGGUACUAUACGAAUAAGCACCGGCUAACUCCGUGCCAGCAGCCGCGGUAAUACGGAGGGUGCAAGCGUUAUCCGGAUUUAUUGGGUUUAAAGGGUCCGUAGGCGGACUUAUAAGUCAGUGGUGAAAGCCUGUCGCUUAACGAUAGAACUGCCAUUGAUACUGUAAGUCUUGAGUAUAUUUGAGGUAGCUGGAAUAAGUAGUGUAGCGGUGAAAUGCAUAGAUAUCAAGAGGAACACCUGAGGCGAAGGCGGGUUGCUGGGCCGACACUGACGCUGAUGCGCGAAAGCCAGGGGAGCAAACG